This 743-nucleotide long non-coding RNA is filed under the name Pan troglodytes (chimpanzee). RNAcentral's name for it is "lincRNA". Lineage: Eukaryota; Metazoa; Chordata; Mammalia; Primates; Hominidae. The record is from RNAcentral.
CUCUCCAGAACAAAUGAGACAGCCAGCAUUGGGGGUAGGGUGGGAAAAGGAAAUGACAGUCACUGGUGGACACAGCUUGGGGCAGGAGCUUCAGUAGGUGUCACCAGGCCUGUGGGUCUCUGUGCUCUGUUUUCUUAUUCAUCCGGUAGCCUUGAAGGGACCUGGAUACCUGGAAGGGGCUGCCGAGGAUGGAUCUGAGGAUUACUGGGACUAACAGGACUUCAGCUGGGGCUUCAUCGUGUGGUGUGGGCUUCCUGACAGCACGGCCACUGGUUUCCAAGAGUUUCAACAAUAUUUUCAUCAUAUUUAUUGAAGCCCUCACUGACAGACUUCUCAAGGCCCCUCUACCUUCUAUUUGCUGCCUGGCCCCAAAGCCAGUGCCGCACAUUUUAGGUUUUUAACUGCAGCAGCACCUAUGAUGUUUCCAAAAUCUGUAUCAUUAAAGUUUGAUCAGAGAAGCAAAACCACCUUGAGCAAAACAAGGAAUUUAUUAAAGAGAUUAGGAUACACAUUGUUAUGAAAGCUGCAACCUGCUGCCCCUGUGUCCAGAAGUGGGCCUGAAGUCAGCAGGGCUGGCAAAUGGAUGUGCAGUGGGAGAGGGUAGGCGUGUGCACCCAUCCUGCAGGGAGGAGAUGGAACUCCUGUGGAUGGACUGAAACUGAUGUCUUCCACGUCAGCCUCUCAGGCCUCCAACACUCCAGCUCUGAUGAUGAAGAUGACCUGCAGAGGAGCUGGUGCCCUUC